UACGUAGGGACCAAGCGUUGUUCGGAUUUACUGGGCGUAAAGGGCGCGUAGGCGGCAUGACAAGUCACUUGUGAAAUCUCCGGGCUUAACUCGGAACGGUCAAGUGAUACUGUCGCGCUAGAGUGCGGAAGGGGCAAUCAGAAUUCUUGGUGUAGCGGUGAAAUGCGUAGAUAUCCGGAGGAACACCAAAGGCGAAGGCAGUAUCCUGGAUUGUUUCUGACGCUCAGGUGCGAAAGCUAGGGGAGCGAACGGG
RNAcentral lists this ribosomal RNA (253 nucleotides) under uncultured bacterium. RNAcentral describes it as "partial 16S ribosomal RNA". It matches the Rfam family "Bacterial small subunit ribosomal RNA", at positions 524 to 776 of the family's 1533-position model. The record is from RNAcentral.